UUUUUAAAUUUAAAAUAAUUAUUAAAAUUUUUAAUUUUCUUUUAACAUUUUAUUUAAUUUAAAUAAAAAAAUUUUUCUAAACUGAAAAGGAUAAUAAUUUUAUUUUAAAAGUAAAUUUUUGUACCUUUAGCAUAAGGGAUUUUUAAAAAAAAAUAAAGCUUUAUUUUUUUCGAAAUCAACUGAUCUAUUUUAUUUUCAAAAAAUAUAUUGCAAUAUAUUAAAAAAAAAAUAAAAUAGAAGUGAAAUUCUUAUCAAAGUUGAAGAUAUCUAAUUUUUUAUAAAAAAUUAAAAGUUUUCUUAUAAUUAAUAUUAUUUCAUAAAAUUAUAAGUAAAUACAUAUGGGAUAAGCUUUAUGUAUUAAUUAUAUAAAUUAAAUAUUUAUUUAAAUGAGAAAUAAAAUUUUUCUUAUAUUGUUAUAAAUAAUUAAUAUUUAUUUAUGUUUAAUAAAAUAAUAUUUUUAAAAAUUAUUUCAACAUUUUCAUAAUCUUAAAAUGAAAGUAUUAGUAAAAAGAUUUUUCAAUAAAUAAAUAAUAAUUUAUUUAUUUAUUUUUCUAGUUAAAUGAAAUUUAAGAACUCGGCAUAAACUUUUUUUGACUGUUUAUUAAAAACAAUGUAUUUAGAAUUUAUUAAAUAUAAAUCCUGCUCAAUGAAUAUUUAAAUUGCUGUAGUAUUUUGACUAUACAAAGGUAUUGUAAUAAGACUUUAAUUGAGUGCUAAAAGAAUGGACUUUCAAAAAAAUUCUUUCUUAAUUUUAAAAGUUAAAGUUAUUUUUAUAUGUGAAGAAACAAUAAUAAAAAUUUAGGACAAGAAGACCCUAUGAAUUUUUAUAAUUUGUUCAUAAUUAAUUAUGAACAAAUUAUUUAAUUGGGGCGAUUAAUUAAUAUUUUAAACUUUUUAAAAAAAAUGUGAUCCAUUAAUAAUGAUUUUAUGAAAAAAAUACUCUAGGGAUAACAGCGUAAUAAUUUUAGAUAGAUCUUAUAGAAAAAAUAGUUUGCGACCUCGAUGUUGGAUUAGGAUUCUUAUUUAAUGAAGAAGUUAAAUAAAGAAGUUUGUUCAACUUUUAAAAUCCUACAUGAUCUGAGUUUAGACCGAUGUGAAUCAGGUUGGUUUCUAUCUUAAUUUUAAUAAAUUAUUUUAAUUAGUACGAAAGGAAUUUUAAAAUAAAAUUAUUUUAUUAAGUAUAACAGUUUUUGCAUCAAUUUUUGGAAUU
Molecule: ribosomal RNA, 1210 nt
Filed under: Haemaphysalis campanulata
Lineage: Eukaryota; Metazoa; Arthropoda; Arachnida; Ixodida; Ixodidae
Description: 16S ribosomal RNA
Source: RNAcentral